RNAcentral lists this long non-coding RNA (2429 nucleotides) under Fragaria vesca (wild strawberry). RNAcentral's name for it is "long non-coding RNA (FVES_LNC000760)". The record is from RNAcentral. Lineage: Eukaryota; Viridiplantae; Streptophyta; Magnoliopsida; Rosales; Rosaceae.
CUCUCUCUCUCUCUCUCUUUCCCCAUUGAUAUCUCUCUCUCUCCGGCGUGAGGGCCUCCGGAAAUUGACCAGAACCCUAAAUCCCUCGCUGGAACUCUAAGCCUUAGGGCCUCCGCUGCCUUAUACAGCCUCCACGUCGUAUCCUUCAUCCUCGGCACAUCGUCGCCGCUGAUAGCAACGCCGCCGCCUCUGUGUCCUCGAUCUCAUCGAAGUCUGGAGCCGACCCGAACAUCGACGAGCCGUAACAGAUCGAUCUCAGAUCUUCAAAUCUGAACGACGAGACCUCUACCUCGUCUGAUCCUCCGAUCAUCCCAUCGUCAUUGCCGGCAGCACCUUCUCCGAUCGGCCUCGGCACGUCGAUGAGCUAGAGGAUUUUGGUGUGUUUUGUGUUUCUGUUGAGGAUUUUGGUGUGUUUAUGUUGAUGAAUGGAGUGUUUUGUUUUUCUGUUGAGGAUUUUGGUGACUUUCAAUGAGCUAGAGGCUGCUGCCAUGGCAUGUGCUAAUCUGAUGGCCACCAGACGACUUGUAAUCUAGCUUCAGGUGGUGGUAGUAGUUUUUGUAGAUGGUAGUAGCAGCUUUUGUGGCUAGUAGUAGUAUUUUUUGUGUUAGUCGGAAACCUCACAGUAGUAGCUUUUGUAGGCGGUGGUAGUAGUUUUUGUGGCUGGUGGUAGUAGCUUUUGUGGCUGGUGGUAGUAGUUUUUGUGUUUCGUCGGAAACCUCACAGUAGUAACUUUUGUAGGCGAUGGUAGUAGCUUUUGUAGCUGGUGGUAGUAGCUUUUGUGGCUGGUGGUAGUAGUUUUUGUGUUUUGUCAGAAACCUCACAGUAGUAGCUUUUGUAGGCAGUAGUAGUAGCUUUUAUAGACGGUGGUAGUAGCUUUUGUAGCUGGUGGUAAUAGCUUUUGUGGUCGGUGAUAGUAGUUUUUGUGUUCGUCGGAAACCUCACAGUAGUAGCUUUUGUAAGCGGUGGUAGUAGCAUUUGUAGCUUGUGGUAGUAGCUUUUGUGGUUGGUGGUAGUAGUUUGUGGUAGUAGCUUUUGUGUUUAUUGAAAACCUCACAGUAGUAGCUUUUGUAGGCGGUGGUAGUAGCUUUUGUAGCUGGUGAUAGUAGUUUUUGUAGGUGGUAGUAGUAAUUUUUGUCAUCGUCGGAGGUCAGUCGGAAACCUCACCGGAGGUCGGCCGGAAACCUCGCCGGAGAUCAGCCGGAAACCUCGCCUGAGGUCGGCCGGAGACUUUUCCACGAUGAGAGUGGUUGUUGACUUUUUAUACUAGUGACAUUCUUGUAAAUAUAAAGGAGAGAAUCUAAUGUUUUUUAUUGGAUGGCAGUCUGUAAUUUUAUUUAACUUUUAUACCUAAUAUAAAACCCUAUUUAGGCUUAGGUGGACUUAUGUGAGUAAAAAUGUUUGGGUGGACUUAUCUGUAAUAAAAUAUCUGAAAAUGGACUUCUAUGUAAUUGACCCUAAGAUAUUAUAAUUAACCUACUCAAAUAUAAUUAAAAUCAUUUAUCUUGUAUAAGACGUCAGUGUAUGAUGCACCGUCGAAUCGUUCAAUGAUAUAUAAAAUCUGUGUAAAAAGGUUGAGUAAAAAAUUAUGGCAUUUCCUUUUUGGUUUAUUGUUUGAGGUGAAAUUGGUGAAAAAUCCAGAAUACGUAAGAUUAAUUAAUAGCCGUUGGCUUGUUUCUCAACUGGGAUUUUGUCUUACGCGCCAAGUGGCUUUACGCGCGCGUCAGUCUGCAACAAUCUAGAAACUAGAAUCUGACAGCCUGCUCUUGGACUGAUCUCCUACAAGCAGGAUCACGCCAAUUACGGGUAAGACAGCACCAGAAUAUUGCCACGUGGCUCAAUACUGCAAUCCUGAUGGACUUCCAAACCUCUUCAAUGAUGCGCAACGAAGAAAAGCUUGGUUUUGUUGAGCUUUCGCAACUAGGGGCGAUGAAAGUCUUGAGGAGUCAUCGAACAACAUAAAAUGUCGGAAAAAAAAAAUAAAAAAAUUCCGUGCACUCACUUUUCUGAAACAGUUAAGAAGAAGAUUGAAUUUUCGGAUAUCAAUUGAUGAAUUAAAAUUAAAAACUCAAUCACAAUAUAUCAAUACGAACAGAAAUAACGUAAACUCUAAUUAAAAUGAAAAUUUUUGUAUUGAAUCAUAUAAACAGAGCGAGCGAGGUUGCUACAACUCAUUAAUUCCGAGUUAGUUCCACCAUAACAUAACCAAGUGUUUCUUUGGGUUUCCGACGUGGUAGGGUUUAGAUGUUCUUGUACAAAACAUUAUUUCCAAUUUGACUGUGUUUGGUGAACACAUUCAUAUAUAUGUACAGCUCUGUAAUGAAUGGCAAUUUGACUUCAAUCUCGAUCUGGUAAAACAUAUAUAUAUGAUGCAGGAUUAAUAGCCCUCUGCUGGUCCAUAUUUGCGGGUGAGCUCUUCAAUAUGGUGUAGU